UGGGGAAUAUUGCACAAUGGGGGAAACCCUGAUGCAGCGACGCCGCGUGAGCGAAGAAGGUUUUCGAAUCGUAAAGCUCUGUCCUAUGAGAAGAUAAUGACGGUAUCAUAGGAGGAAGCCCCGGCUAAAUACGUGCCAGCAGCCGCGGUAAUACGUAUGGGGCGAGCGUUGUCCUGAAUUAUUGGGCGUAAAGGGUACGUAGGCGGUCUAUUAAGUCAGGUGUGAAAGCGUGAGGCUUAACCUCAUUAAGCACUUGAAACUGAUAGACUUGAGUGAAGGAGAGGAAAGUGGAAUUCCUAGUGUAGCGGUGAAAUGCGUAGAUAUUAGGAGGAAUACCGGUGGCGAAGGCGACUUUCUGGACUUUUACUGACGCUCAGGUACGAAAGCGUGGGGAGCAAACAGG
RNAcentral lists this ribosomal RNA (403 nucleotides) under Verrucomicrobiota bacterium. Its description in RNAcentral is "Verrucomicrobia bacterium partial 16S ribosomal RNA". It matches the Rfam family "Bacterial small subunit ribosomal RNA", at positions 355 to 776 of the family's 1533-position model. The record is from RNAcentral. Lineage: Bacteria; Pseudomonadati; Verrucomicrobiota.